UCGCAAGACGAUGUAUACGGACUGACGCCUGCCCGGUGCUGGAAGGUUAAGAGGAAGGGUUAGCCUUUGGGCGAAGCUCUGAAUUUAAGCCCCAGUAAACGGCGGUGGUAACUAUAACCAUCCUAAGGUAGCGAAAUUCCUUGUCGGGUAAGUUCCGACCUGCACGAAUGGCGUAAUGAUGGCCACGCUGUCUCCAGCCGAGACUCAGUGAAGUUGAAAUUGCGGUGAAGAUGCCGUAUACCCGCGGCUAGACGGAAAGACCCCGUGAACCUUUACU
Molecule: ribosomal RNA, 277 nt
Filed under: uncultured Micromonas
Lineage: Eukaryota; Viridiplantae; Chlorophyta; Mamiellophyceae; Mamiellales
Description: partial Bacterial large subunit ribosomal RNA
Rfam family: Bacterial large subunit ribosomal RNA
Source: RNAcentral